UUGCACGCUGGCGGCAGGCCUAACACAUGCAAGUCGAACGGUAACAGGAAGCAGCUUGCUGCUUUGCUGACGAGUGGCGGACGGGUGAGUAAUGUCUGGGAAACUGCCCGAUGGAGGGGGAUAACUACUGGAAACGGUAGCUAAUACCGCAUAACGUCGCAAGACCAAAGAGGGGGACCUUAGGGCCUCUUGCCAUCGGAUGUGCCCAGAUGGGAUUAGCUAGUAGGUGGGGUAACGACUCACCUAGGCGACGAUCCCUAGCUGGUCUGAGAGGAUGACCAGCCACACGAGAACUGAGACACGGUCCAGACUCCUACGGGAGGCAGCAGUGGGGAAUAUUGCACAAUGGGCGCAAGCCUGAUGCAGCCAUGCCGCGUGUAUGAAGAAGGCCUUCGGGUUGUAAAGUACUUUCAGCGGGGAGGAAGGGAGUAAAGUUAAUACCUUUGCUCAUUGACGUUACCCGCAGAAGAAGCACCGGCUAACUCCGUG
This 489-nucleotide ribosomal RNA is filed under the name uncultured bacterium. Its description in RNAcentral is "partial 16S ribosomal RNA". It matches the Rfam family "Bacterial small subunit ribosomal RNA", at positions 30 to 507 of the family's 1533-position model. The record is from RNAcentral.